AACGAACGCUGGCGGCGUGCCUAACACAUGCAAGUCGUGCGAGAAAGUUCCUUCGGGAGCGAGUAAAGCGGCGCACGGGUGAGUAACACGUAGGUAACCUGCCCCCCAGUCUGGAACAACUAGAGGAAACUCUAGCUAAUGCCGGAUGAGACCACGAUCCCUUCGGGGGUUGCGGCCAAAGAUGGCCUCUACUUGUAAGCUAUCGCUGAGGGAUGGGCCUGCGGGCCAUUAGCUUGUUGGUGAGGUAACGGCUCACCAAGGCUGUGAUGGCUAGCUGGUCUGAGAGGAUGACCAGCCACACUGGGACUAAGACACGGCCCAGACUCCUACGGGAGGCAGCAGUGGGGAAUAUUGCGCAAUGGGCGAAAGCCUGACGCAGCGACGCCGCGUGGGUGAUGAAGGCC
Molecule: ribosomal RNA, 404 nt
Filed under: uncultured bacterium
Lineage: Bacteria
Description: bacterial SSU rRNA
Rfam family: Bacterial small subunit ribosomal RNA
Source: RNAcentral